Molecule: long non-coding RNA, 508 nt
Filed under: Mytilus galloprovincialis (Mediterranean mussel)
Lineage: Eukaryota; Metazoa; Mollusca; Bivalvia; Mytilida; Mytilidae
Source: RNAcentral
CACCGAAGAGCAAGCUAUAAAAGGUCCAUAUGCUCUGAUUUGAAAGGGGGAAAUAUUGCUUUUGUAAACAAACAUGAAAUAUUCUAACAUCAUUCAUCAAUAAAAUUAGACCUAAAUGUCCGAUAACCUGACAAUAUACAGAAUCUCCAUAGCGAACAAAAAUGUUAUCUAGUAAAAAUUCAAGUCGGAUAUAGUGUCGAAGCAUUUUAAAAUGUCCUGUACCAAGUCAGGAAUAUGGCCAUUGUCAUGAUUGUUAUAUUAUAGUUCGUUUCUGUGUGUGUUACAUUUUAACGUUGUGUUUCCGUUGUGUCGUUUGUUUUCUCUUAUUUUUGAGUGUGAAUUCACAUUACUAUAAGACGUGUCACGGUACUUAUCUAUCCCUAAUUCAUGUAUUUGGUUUUGAUGUGAUAUUUGUUAUUCUCAUAGGAUUUUGUCUUAUGCUUAGUCCGUUUUUGUGUGUGUUACAUUUUAAUGUUGUGUCGUUGUUCUCCUAUAUUUAAUGCGUUUC